This 644-nucleotide ribosomal RNA is filed under the name uncultured bacterium. RNAcentral describes it as "bacterial SSU rRNA". It matches the Rfam family "Bacterial small subunit ribosomal RNA", at positions 8 to 699 of the family's 1533-position model. The record is from RNAcentral.
AGGGUUUGAUCAUGGCUCAGAACGAACGCUGGCGGAAUGCUUUACACAUGCAAGUCGAACGAGUACUUUUUACUAGUGGCGAACGGGUGAGUAACGCGUGGGAACCUACCUUGAGGUAAAGAAUAACUACAGGAAACUGUAGCUAAUGCUUUAUGUGCCCUACGGGGGAAAGAUUUAUUGCCUUUUGAGGGGCCCGCGUCAGAUUAGCUUGUUGGUGAGGUAAUGGCUUACCAAGGCUAUGAUCUGUAGCUGGUUUGAGAGGAUGAUCAGCCACAUUGGGACUGAGAUACGGCCCAGACUCCUACGGGAGGCAGCAGUGGGGAAUCUUGGACAAUGGGGGAAACCCUGAUCCAGCAAUUCCGCGUGAAUGAUGAAGGCCUUAGGGUUGUAAAGUUCUUUUAGUAAGGAAGAUGAUGACGGUACUUACAGAAAAAGCUCCGGCUAACUCCGUGCCAGCAGCCGCGGUAAUACGGGGGGGGCAAGCGUUGUUCGGAAUUACUGGGCGUAAAGAGCGAGCAGGUGGUUCAUUAAGUCAAUUGUGAAAGCUCAAGGCUCAACCUUGAAAUUGCUUUUGAUACUGAUGGACUAGAGUUUGGGAGAGGAUAGUGGAAUUCUAAGUGUAGAAGUGAAAUUCGUAGAUAUUU